This 829-nucleotide long non-coding RNA is filed under the name Equus caballus (horse). Its description in RNAcentral is "lncRNA (ENSECAG00000058289.1)". Lineage: Eukaryota; Metazoa; Chordata; Mammalia; Perissodactyla; Equidae. The record is from RNAcentral.
AGGCAAUAAUCUCAGAGCAAAAACAGCACCCAGUAGUCUACUUAUUUCCCCACCCCCACCCCACACUACCUCCUUCCCUCUGCCCCCGCUUUUCUGUGCCUCAGGUGUCGCAGCCACAUGUCAGGAUGGAGACACGCUGAAAGUAAGAAAUCAAAGCCAUCCAAGAAUGACUGAAGAGGAGAGACAAGCCUAAUGGUUUAGAUAAAGAUCUCAUCUCUUAGAGACUGCAAACAUCUUGAGUGUAGGAUCUGUAUCUUCCUAUCUCUGCUUCAACCACAGCAACUAUCUCGGGAAUCAACUGAGGUCCCUAAUGAGUAUACAAGGAAUACAGUAUACAAGGGGAAGACACACCUUAUGAAGGAUGAAAUGACUUGUUUAAGGGAAGGAAGGCACUGAGUCACUCAGGAAUGACCCACUCAGGAAGUGAGUGGGAACUUUUCAAUAUUGAACCUUCUGAGUCUGAAAAGGCUGUGGAACUCUUUGCUUCCCGAUCCUUUAGGAGAGGCGAGCUGUCAAAGGCCACCACACUUGGGGUUAUGUAUCAAUGUAAAGUAUAUUCUAAGACAUCACAGAGAACAGAUAUGAAGCUGAUACGUGACAGAUUUGAUAGCAAUUAAAGUAACAGAACAUGCUUUCACCUUGGAAUGAAGUCAUUAUUUGUCAACACUUUUCUUAAAAGAUAAAAUUGGAGUUUUUCAGACUCACUAUUCUAGACAGUGUUAGAGAAAUUUGAAAAUUGUCUACUAGUUUGUUAAAGAUGUUUUAAAAUAUGUUCUAAAGUUGCUUAUUAGUGUUUUUCUGAAAAAAUUGUUUAAAAAGAACAAAUGGG